RNAcentral lists this ribosomal RNA (618 nucleotides) under uncultured bacterium. Its description in RNAcentral is "bacterial SSU rRNA". It matches the Rfam family "Bacterial small subunit ribosomal RNA", at positions 338 to 948 of the family's 1533-position model. The record is from RNAcentral.
CCUACGGGAGGCAGCAGUGGGGAAUUUUGGACAAUGGGCGCAAGCCUGAUCCAGCAAUGCCGCGUGAGUGAAGAAGGCCUUCGGGUUGUAAAGCUCUUUUGUCAGGGAAGAAACGGUGGGGGCUAAUAUCCUCCACUAAUGACGGUACCUGAAGAAUAAGCACCGGCUAACUACGUGCCAGCAGCCGCGGUAAUACGUAGGGUGCAAGCGUUAAUCGGAAUUACUGGGCGUAAAGCGUGCGCAGGCGGUUUUGUAAGUUUGUCGUGAAAUCCCCGGGCUCAACCUGGGAAUGGCGAUGAAGACUGCAAGGCUAGAAUCUGGCAGAGGGGGGUAGAAUUCCACGUGUAGCAGUGAAAUGCGUAGAGAUGUGGAGGAACACCGAUGGCGAAGGCAGCCCCCUGGGUCAAGAUUGACGCUCAUGCACGAAAGCGUGGGGAGCAAACAGGAUUAGAUACCCUGGUAGUCCACGCCCUAAACGAUGUCUACUAGUUGUCGGGUUUUAAUUAACUUGGUAACGCAGCUAACGCGUGAAGUAGACCGCCUGGGGAAGUCGGUCGCAAGAUUAAAACUCAAAGGAAUUGACGGCUGAGACGNGCGAGACGACGACGAGGGAGGAGG